Molecule: long non-coding RNA, 2053 nt
Organism: Oncorhynchus mykiss (rainbow trout)
Lineage: Eukaryota; Metazoa; Chordata; Actinopteri; Salmoniformes; Salmonidae
Source: Ensembl
AUGAGCUCACUAAGCAAGACGGAGAACGGUCUGGUGAAAGGAGAGGAAGAAGCUUUCAGAAUGAAAACGGAUGAAGAGGAGGCUAUCACAUUGAAAGAAGAAGAGGAUGAUAUUACAGUGAAAGAGGAAGAUGGGAAAGAUGUUGUCAGCGUGGAACAUGAUGAGGUAGAAGCUUUCAGAAUCAAAAAGGAGGAAGAUGCCGUAACAUUGAAAGAAGAGGAAGAACCUUUUGGAGUACAAGAGGAAGAGGAGGCUAUCUCAAUUAAAGAGGAGGAAGACGUUUUGGGAGUGAAAGAGGAGGAGGCUGAAGAUCAGAUUAACCCCAGAGAGAGACAUGACUAUGGUGGAUCCUCUGGGGAGCCUCAACAACAUCCUGAUGCUGACGAGUCAGAGAAGAGUCUCUACAGAUCAGAACACCAGAUGGUGCAGCUUGGCAUGAGAAGGAAAACAACGUGGCUGUUAUGAAAGUGAACUGUGAUCAGCGGUGCAUUCAUGUGCCGAUUGUUGUUGACAAAGUUUCUUAAACGGAACAAAACGGGGUUACAAUAUACCUGAAUUUGUCCAAUAGAAACUCUUGUUUGCAACUGCUGGAUUAAUGAUUACCCACUAUAUCAGCUAGAUGCAGGCAAGAGUAUGCAAGGUGGUAUUGAAUGUGUCACUUUCACUGACCUGUGUACACCUACGUUGUAAACUUCAUUCAUAGGCUAGGUUGUAGCAAACUCAUGAUUGGUAAAGGGAACAUCUGAGAAUCAAGUAGUAGCCUAAACCUCUCGCUGUUACAUUGAACAGGGUGAAUCGAAUAUGAAUGACAGUUGAAUGACAGUCAUCCAACAUGCUGUAGUAGAAAAAAGGCCAUGCUCAUGAAAAACCAAAUGGUCCUCCCUCAUCUUAAACGGCACUGACCACCACUGUUUGGGUGGUGGACCAUUCUUGGUACACAUGGGAAACUGUUGAGCUGAAAACCCCAGCAGUGUUGCAGUUCUUGACACAAACCGGUGGGCCUGGCACCUACUACCAUCCCCCGUUCAAAGGCACUUAAAUAUUUUGUCUUCCCAAUUCACCCUCUGAAUGGCACACAUGCACAAUCCAUGUCUCAUUUGUCUCAAGGCUUAAAAAUCCUUAUUUAACCUGUCUCCCACCCCCUUCAUCUACACUGAUUGAAUUGGAUUUAACUACUGACAUCAAUAAGGGAUCAUAGCUUUAGCCUGGAUUCACCUGGUCAGUCUAAGUCAUGGAAGGAGCAGGUGUGCUUAAUGUUUUGUAUACUCAGUGUAAAGCACUACAUAUAAUCAAGUGCUAUUUGGCUUUAAGGGAAUAGUAUGGUCACAUCGAGAUAAAAAACGAAUGUGAAAAAUGAACAGAGAAAAUGUGUAUUAACACACUACCUAUUCAUAGAAGUAUUUAUGCAUCAUCUACACAUUCAUAUUACGCUUCUACUUCUGUGUACAGGAAAUUCUUAAAUCAAAUCUUAUUAGUUCUAAGACGUGAGUGAAAAUAUAUCAGUUUAUUGUUAAAUUAUUAUAAAUUUAUUUCCAAUACAAAAAAGCGUAGUAACUAUUGUUUCCAAAAUGCGUUGCUCACUCCAGCCAGCCGAUGACGAUGUGCGUCUUGCGUGACGUAUAAUGGACUGGACGGGACGCUUCUUCAGGAACAACAACACGGCUACUCUUUCAACCACCUCGAUAGCUUGCUAGCCAACAUAAAACUGAAAGAUUGAUUAUUUAGACCAUGUUAAUGUACAUUAGCUAAUCUCAGUAUUUUAAACAAAUUUUGGUUGACUUAUCUAAUGGUUAACUUUAACCUAAUGUGCUUGUUCAAUUUGCAAACUUUUUAAAGAUUGAUAGUGUCUAGGCUAGUCGCUAAUGCUACCUAACUUGCUAACUAACAUCCCUGACCAUGAGCUCACUAAACUUCUCCUCCCUUUCGACCAUGUUUGUGUACAUUAGCUAAUCUGUGUUUUAAACACAUUUCUGUUGACGGAUCAAUUGGUCAACUUAAUUUGCAAACGUGUUAAAGAUUGAUACUGAGGUUAGCACUAGGCUAGUCGCUAAUG